ACACUGCAGAGAAGGAUCUUUCUAUUCAAAGAUAUGCUGUCAUUCCAUUGUCUCCAAACAGCGGAUUAAUAGGAUGGGUACCAAAUUGUGACACCCUGCACCAUCUCAUUCGGAGUAAAGAGAUGCUAGAAAGAUCACCUUAAAUCUAGAGCACAAACAUAUGCUUAAUUUUGCUAAAGAUUAUGACCAUUUGCCACUUAUAGCUAAAGUGGAGGUGUUUGAGUAUGCUCUGCAAAAUAGUGAAGGAAAUGACCUGGCAAGGGUGUUUUAGUUAAAAAGUUGCACUUUUGAGAAUUGGCUGGACAGGAGGACAAAUUAU
Camellia sinensis is the source of this 319-nucleotide non-coding RNA. NCBI's taxonomy places the organism in Eukaryota, Viridiplantae, Streptophyta, Magnoliopsida, Ericales, Theaceae. The record is from RefSeq and is a predicted model, not a curated record.